CCUACGGGAGGCUGCAGUAGGGAAUCUUCCACAAUGGGCGAAAGCCUGAUGGAGCAACGCCGCGUGGGUGAAGAAGGUCUUCGGAUCGUAAAACCCUGUUGUUAGAGAAGAAAGUGCGUGAGAGUAACUGUUCACGUUUCGACGGUAUCUAACCAGAAAGCCACGGCUAACUACGUGCCAGCAGCCGCGGUAAUACGUAGGUGGCAAGCGUUAUCCGGAUUUAUUGGGCGUAAAGGGAACGCAGGCGGUCUUUUAAGUCUGAUGUGAAAGCCUUCGGCUUAACCGGAGUAGUGCAUUGGAAACUGGGAGACGUGAGUGCAGAAGAGGAGAGUGGAACUCCAUGUGUAGCGGUGAAAUGCGUAGAGAGAUGGAAGAACACCAGUGGCGAAAGCGGCUCUCUGGUCUGUAACUGACGCUGAGGUUCGAAAGCGUGGGUAGCAAACAGGAUUAGAUACCCGGGUAGUC
RNAcentral lists this ribosomal RNA (465 nucleotides) under uncultured bacterium. Its description in RNAcentral is "partial 16S ribosomal RNA". It matches the Rfam family "Bacterial small subunit ribosomal RNA", at positions 338 to 795 of the family's 1533-position model. The record is from RNAcentral.